GUGCUGGGAAGAUAAAGAACUCAUAGACCAGAUACUAGAAAUUAGUACACGCUGAAAGACAGCUCUCACAUAGGUGUAAGUAUGACGUCUUGGGCCUUUGAGGAUGGCUCGGCCAGUAAAGACACCUUCCGUGCAAACCUGGCAACCCAGAACCAUAGGUAGAAGAAGAAAACUGACUUCACAAAGUGUCCUCUAACCUUCAUGCAUGUGUUGUGGCCUGAGAGAGGGGGGGAGAGAGAGAGAUAGAGAGAGAGAGAGAGAGUCUACACAUGCAUACAGAGUAUUAAUAAAUUAAAAAAUUAAAAUGUAAAGUCUUAACUGCUUUGGUUACCUGGAAAUUGCAGUUUUUGUUUUUCUGUUUUGGGGUUUCUUUGAAGAGAGGUGUAAAUGUGUCACUGCCAGAUUUUUCUAAUGUGUCCACUUUGUUUCACUUCUUUUUAAACAAAUGCAGUUGGGAUAACGAAUCCAUUCUACUUGCACAGAGCUGGAUGGCCCGAGAAACAGGUCUCAUCAUUUAUGACUGUGUUACAAAUAUUUGUCAUUUUCAUUCCUCAUAUAUUAACUUUAAAAAUGGCUUUCUCCCAAACAGUAAUAUUUGCUUCCGAUGUGAGAAUAAAUUUUAACAAAUUUCAGAACUGCAUGGCAGCAACCGUAAUCUCAAAAACCAUUAUCACAGUGAAUCCAGAUACACCAGAAGCCAAUAUCCUACUGAAUUUUAUAAGAGAAAAUAAAGAGACAAGUAUAGCUGAUGAAAUUGACAGUUAUUUGAAAGAAUCUGUAAACU
RNAcentral lists this long non-coding RNA (784 nucleotides) under Rattus norvegicus (Norway rat). Its description in RNAcentral is "long non-coding RNA NONRATT004092". Lineage: Eukaryota; Metazoa; Chordata; Mammalia; Rodentia; Muridae. The record is from RNAcentral.